RNAcentral lists this non-coding RNA (961 nucleotides) under Trichomonas vaginalis G3. Its description in RNAcentral is "Eukaryotic small subunit ribosomal RNA". It matches the Rfam family "Eukaryotic small subunit ribosomal RNA", at positions 1 to 1158 of the family's 1831-position model. Lineage: Eukaryota; Parabasalia; Trichomonadida; Trichomonadidae. The record is from Rfam by way of RNAcentral.
UACUUGGUUGAUCUCUGCCCAAGGAAGCACACUUAGGUCAUAGAUUAAGCCAUGCAAGUGUUAGUUCAGGGUAACGAAACUGCGAAUAGCUCAUUAAUACGCUCAGAAUCUAUUUGGCGGCGACCAACAGGUCUUAAAUGGAUAGCAGCAGCAACUCUGGUGCUAAUACAUGCGAUUGUUUCUCCAGAUGUGAAUUAUGGAGGAAAAGUUGACCUCAUCAGAGGCACGCCAUUCGACUGAGUGACCUAUCAGCUUGUACUUAGGGUCUUUACCUAGGUAGGCUAUCACGGGUAACGGGCGGUUACCGUCGGACUGCCGGAGAAGGCGCCUGAGAGAUAGCGACUAUAUCCACGGGUAGCAGCAGGCGCGAAACUUUCCCACUCGAGACUUUCGGAGGAGGUAAUGACCAGUUCCAUUGGUGCCUUUUGGUACUGUGGAUAGGGGUACGGUUUUCCACCGUACCGAAACCUAGCAGAGGGCCAGUCUGGUGCCAGCAGCUGCGGUAAUUCCAGCUCUGCGAGUUUGCUCCCAUAUUGUUGCAGUUAAAACGCCCGUAGUCUGAAUUGGCCAGCAAUGGUCGUACGUAUUUUUACGUUCACUGUGAACAAAUCAGGACGCUUAGAGUAUGGCCACAUGAAUGACUCAGCGCAGUAUGAAGUCUUUGUUUUCUUCCGAAAACAAGCUCAAUGAGAGCCAUCGGGGGUAGAUCUAUCUCAUGACGAGUGGUGGAAUACUUUGACUCAUGAGAGAGAAGCUGAGGCGAAGGCGUCUACCUAGAGGGUUUCUGUCGAUCAAGGGCGAGAGUAGGAGUAUCCAACAGGAUUAGAGACCCUGGUAGUUCCUACCUUAAACGAUGCCGACAGGAGUUUGUCAUUUGUUAAUGGCAGAAUCUUUGGAGAAAUCAUAGUUCUUGGGCUCUGGGGGAACUACGACCGCAAGGCUGAAACUUGAAGGAUUGACG